Molecule: transfer RNA, 65 nt
Filed under: Dipodomys ordii (Ord's kangaroo rat)
Lineage: Eukaryota; Metazoa; Chordata; Mammalia; Rodentia; Heteromyidae
Rfam family: tRNA
About the family: Transfer RNA (tRNA) molecules are approximately 80 nucleotides in length. Their secondary structure includes four short double-helical elements and three loops (D, anti-codon, and T loops).
Source: Rfam by way of RNAcentral
GGUAUAGCUCAGUGGUAGAGCACUUGCCUAUCAUAUGCAAGGCUGUGGGUUCAAUCCCCACUACC